GGCCAUGGGACCUCCUACGGUCUGACUUCCUAUACACGCUCCGAGAUUUUUCCAAGAAGCUAAAUCUCGUGCCUUGUAUAUAUAGGAGACAAAGAGUGAAGCGCUCUCUCUCAAGCUACGUCUUGUGAGCUUCGCUGCGGGUGCGUCGCCGAAAAAUUCAUUAGUUUCUCCCGACCUUGAUCCGAAAACUCACCGGAGUCGGCCGGAAAAUUGAACAAGUUAAAGAGUGAGUCGGAAGCAAGAAAGGCAGAGACUUUUUGUAGAUCCGAUUAAAAUUUCCAAGCUUUAUAAAUA
Pyrus x bretschneideri (Chinese white pear) is the source of this 294-nucleotide long non-coding RNA. RefSeq lists it as uncharacterized. NCBI's taxonomy places the organism in Eukaryota, Viridiplantae, Streptophyta, Magnoliopsida, Rosales, Rosaceae. The record is from RefSeq and is a predicted model, not a curated record. The transcript has 2 exons.